UACAUAGGUUAUAAAGGCAAACGAGGGGAACUGAAACAUCUUAGUACCCUCAGGAAAAGAAAACAAUAGUGAUUUUCAAAGUAGCGGCGAGCGAAAUGAAAAUAGCCCAAACCCAAUAUGUGUAAGCCCGAAAGCGUUGUAUAUUGGGGGUCGUGGGGUUUGAUGUUGCAUAGUUUCGGAUAUGCAAAAAGAGUUACAAAGUUGAUUUAUAACCGAAAAGUCUGGAAAGACUUACCAUAGAAUGUGAUAGUCAUUUAGGUGAAAUGAAUCAGCCUCUUUAUCAAAUUCCCAAGUAUUGCGGGACACGAGAAAUCCUGUGAGAAUUUGUGAGGACCAUCUCAUAAGGCUAAAUACUACCA
This 359-nucleotide ribosomal RNA is filed under the name Oxyrrhis marina. RNAcentral's name for it is "partial Bacterial large subunit ribosomal RNA". It matches the Rfam family "Bacterial large subunit ribosomal RNA", at positions 163 to 477 of the family's 2925-position model. The record is from RNAcentral. Lineage: Eukaryota; Dinophyceae; Oxyrrhinales; Oxyrrhinaceae.